CUAGAUUGUUGCAAUACCAAGGACUCCUAUUGGAGCAGCCGCACAUCAAGUUUGUCACCACUGCUAGCCUCAACCAGGCUACCUUACUCCCAGAGUCCAAUGAACAGAUACCCAUCCAUGAUCUAAAAGCUGGAAACAAUGCAUGGUGGACAUGUACAAAUGGUAUAACUCCUUGUUUGUCCAUGACAGUCCUCAAUCAGGAACUUGAGGUAUGUGUAAUGGUCCACAUUUUACCCCAAGUCACUAUAUAUGGAGAAGACCAGGGUUGGGAAUACCUAGCUAAGACAGCAUGCACCCGAGAGAAGUGCCACCCAGCAUUGAUUCCUGUGUUAAUUGCAGCAGGCAUUGCGGGAUCAGUGGCUCUGGGAGCGACUGCAAUAGGACUGCAAGACUUCAACUUCAAGACCCUUGCCCAACAGGCCAAAUAUCAUCCUUUAAGUGAGCUAGAUGAGGAAGAGCAAAGACGGAGACAAGAAUACCAAGGGCCCCAACUUGUCUCCUUCUGUUAUGGAUCACCAGGGGGACAUCGAGUUCCAGGAAUGUAUUUGUUGUUGUGCCAGGAAGGUCUAUUGAGUGUGCAGUGUUCUGUCAUGCUUACCCAAUUCCAUAACAGAACAUGUUAUCUUAAGAACAAUUUGUAAAAAUUCCCUCCUUCAGCACUUUGCUUUUGUAUUUCUGCUUGCCAACUUCCCCCUAGCAUCUCCUAUAAAAGGACCUCAGGCUCUGAGCCUCUCACCUCUCUAAGCUUGGUGCUUGGGGGGUGCCGUCUGGCC
Molecule: long non-coding RNA, 773 nt
Organism: Heterocephalus glaber (naked mole-rat)
Lineage: Eukaryota; Metazoa; Chordata; Mammalia; Rodentia; Bathyergidae
Source: Ensembl